AGCUGCAAACAGCUGUUUGCUCAGUAAAAUGCAGCCUGCUCUCCCACGGGCUGGCGUCACCGCAGGGCUGGAGGUUCGCUGCGUCCCAAACGGACACCGGGAGGGCAGAGGGCAGUGUGGGGGCACCUCUGCUGCCUCUGCAAGAAGGAUUGAGAUGCCACAGCUGGGGCAGGAUCCUCCUGCUCUAUGUGAGCUGUUGCUGUUGCUCUGCACCUUUCAGAUGAAGCUCAGGCAGGAUGAGGAGAAGUGGCUUUUCUUCCUUCCAGAUCAGCUGAAAACAGCGUUACAGCUGGAGCAAAAAGAGGAGCCUGGGAAGAAGCAGGCAGGGUACAACAUGCACCGGCUGCAGGGGAAUAAGCAGUACGGCACGGAGAAGACGGGGACCCUCCUCAAGAAAAGCGAGGGGUUCAGAAAAGUCUGGCAGAAGAGGAAAUGCACCAUCAGCAAUGGCUACUUGACCAUCUCUCACAGCAUGCCCAACUGCCCACCAGCCAAGCUGAAUUUACUGACCUGCCAGGUGAAGCCGAACACGGAUGACAAGAAAUCCUUUGAUGUGGUUUCCCACAACCGCACAUACCGCUUCCUGGCAGAGGACGAGCAGGACUGCUUGGUCUGGGUGUCCGUCCUCAGCAACAGCAAGAAGGAGGCACUGAACGUGGCCUUCAGCAAUGCGCAGGGCGAAGGGGAGCACAGCCAGGAGGAGCUGACCCGGGCUAUCAUUGAAGAGGUCAGAGCCAUGCCAGGGAACAGGGAGUGCUGUGACUGCUUGGCCCCAGAUCCCACUUGGCUAUCCGUGAACUUGGGCAUCCUGAUUUGCAUCAAGUGCUCUGGGAUUCACAGAGAGAUGGGUGUGCAUCUUUCCCGCAUCCAGUUGCUGUCUCUAGACAAGCUGGCAACCUCAGAACUGCUGCUGGCGAGGAAUAUCAGCAACUCUGGCUUCAAUGACAUCAUGGAAGCAAAUCUCCCCAGCUCUUCCCUGAAGCCCACGGUGCACAGUGACAUGGCUUUUCGGAAAACUUUCAUAAUUUCCAAGUAUGUUGAGAAGAAAUACACAAAGAGGAGCUCUGUGUCCUGGUGCUCCAGCCUCCCAGAAGCUGUCAAGGCCAAGGACAUAUUUUCUUUGCUCCAAGCGUACGCGGAGAAUGUGGAUUUGAGCGAGACCGUGCUGUCACCGCUGCAGGAACACGGGGAGACCCUCCUCCACCUGGCAGUGCUGUUGUCUGAUAGAACCUCUUUGCAUAUUGUUGAUUUUCUUGUCCAGAACAGUGGGAGCCUGGCAAAGCAGACAGCAGAGGGGAACACGCCACUUCACUACUGCUGCUCUCACAACAGACCUGAGUGUGUCAAACUGCUGCUGAAGGCCAAAGCCAACAUCGCCAUCACCAACAAAGCAGGAGAGACAGCCCUGGAUGUUGCCAGGAAGAUGAGACAUCCCCUGUGUGAAGAGCUGCUGCUGCAGGUGCAGAACAACCGGUUCAACCCCAAUGUCCAUGUGGAGUAUGAGUGGUGGUUGGGCCAAGACAACAUGUAUGAAAGUGAUGAAGACCUGGAUAAGAAGCUGGGUGCUGUGAAGAGGGGCUCUGCCCAUCCCCGGAGCAGCUGCCACAGCCCGGCCACUGACCCCAGGCUGGAGGCAGUGGCCUGGGGUGGGUGGCCAGAUGCCUGUGCCCUGCCAGCUGCCCACCUCCGCAGCCUGGACAUACCACCUCCCCCCUCCUACGCUCCUCCAUUCCCACCCCAGGUGCCAGGUGCCCUGAAAGCCAUGGACCUUCUCUGCACGCCUGGCCUCAGCAGAGUGGGACAGCCUGGCCCACACCGAUCUGUCCAGGAGCCAGAUCCAUGUUCUGGUCAUGUCCAGGAUGUCCCAUAUCUUCCUCGGAGGAGUAGUUUGGGAGCCUCCCAGUCUCUCAUCCUGGCUCCUCACAUGUUUGACAUCGGCUUUGGGAUCCAAACAACAGAGUUAAUUUGCAUCAAACAAAACCGAGAAGGCCUGACGAUGCGCUCUCCUGCUUGCAGAACAGGCUGCUGCUCCGCAGGGUCUGCGCUCUCUAUGACUGCGAUGCUGACCAGGAAGAUGAGCUGACUUUCCGCACAGGCGAGAUCAUUGUGGUGUCUGAAAAGGAGGACAGUAACUGGUGGAAAGGGUGGAUUGAAGGACAGCCUCACAGGCGAGGUGUCUUCCCUGCUUCAUUCGUUCACGUUCUCAAUGAGUAGGAGCUGCCAUUAUUCAAGAAGAAAGAUCUGAUCAGCUGCUUAAAAUGCAAUUCCCCAAGCUUC
RNA transcript from Cuculus canorus (common cuckoo), 2277 nucleotides. It is a transcript of the gene named arf-GAP with SH3 domain, ANK repeat and PH domain-containing protein 1-like, with no coding region annotated. The transcript has 17 exons. The record is from RefSeq and is a predicted model, not a curated record. NCBI's taxonomy places the organism in Eukaryota, Metazoa, Chordata, Aves, Cuculiformes, Cuculidae.